GAAAAGAAACCAACAGGAAAUGCCCUAGUAACGGCGAGUGAAGCGGCAACAGCUCAAAUUUGAAAUCUGGCUUCGGCCCGAGUUGUAAUUUGCAGAGGAAGCUUUAGGCGCGGCACUUUCUGAGUCCCCUGGAACGGGGCGCCAUAGAGGGUGAGAGCCCCGUAUAGUUAGAUGCCUAGCCUGUGUAAAGCUCCUUCGACGAGUCGAGUAGUUUGGGAAUGCUGCUCAAAAUGGGAGGUAAAUUUCUUCUAAAGCUAAAUACCGGCCAGAGACCGAUAGCGCACAAGUAGAGUGAUCGAAAGAUGAAAAGCACUUUGAAAAGAGGGUUAAAUAGCACGUGAAAUUGUUGAAAGGGAAGCGCUUGUGACCAGACUUGCGCCGGGCAGAUCAUCCGGU
Molecule: ribosomal RNA, 396 nt
Filed under: Chaetomium pseudocochliodes
Lineage: Eukaryota; Fungi; Ascomycota; Sordariomycetes; Sordariales; Chaetomiaceae
Description: partial large subunit ribosomal RNA
Rfam family: Eukaryotic large subunit ribosomal RNA
Source: RNAcentral